This 488-nucleotide ribosomal RNA is filed under the name uncultured bacterium. Its description in RNAcentral is "bacterial SSU rRNA". It matches the Rfam family "Bacterial small subunit ribosomal RNA", at positions 8 to 518 of the family's 1533-position model. The record is from RNAcentral.
AGAGUUUGAUUAUGGCUCAGGAUGAACGCUGACAGAAUGCUUAACACAUGCAAGUCUACUUGAUCCUUCGGGUGAAGGUGGCGGACGGGUGAGUAACGCGUAAAGAACUUGCCUUACAGACUGGGACAACAUUUGGAAACGAAUGCUAAUACCGGAUAUUAUGAUUGGGUCGCAUGAUCUGGUUAUGAAAGCUAUAUGCGCUGUGAGAGAGCUUUGCGUCCCAUUAGUUAGUUGGUGAGGUAACGGCUCACCAAGACGAUGAUGGGUAGCCGGCCUGAGAGGGUGAACGGCCACAAGGGGACUGAGACACGGCCCUUACUCCUACGGGAGGCAGCAGUGGGGAAUAUUGGACAAUGGACCAAAAGUCUGAUCCAGCAAAUUCUGUGUGCACGAUGAAGUUUUUCGGAAUGUAAAGUGCUUUCAGUUGGGAAGAAGUCAGUGACGGUACCAACAGAAGAAGCGACGGCUAAAUACGUGCCAGCCGCUGC